AAUAUUCCAACUAUAGAAAAGGCAUGAAGAAUGUGAUCACUGAAAUGGAGGUCCCACUCGAUGUUGCAAAAGAAACUCUCGAGUUUGCAGAAGAUAAGAUUAAGGCAUGAAGAAUGUGAUCACUAAAAUGGAGAUCCCACUCAAUGUUGCAUAAGAAACUAUCGAGUUUGCAAAUGGUGGGAUUGACGCGCUCGUUGCUCCAAGUGAAUAGACUCAAAUAGUGCAGUAAUAUUUGUGAGUUAAAGGGAACCCACCUUCAGAACGUUGCCACUCGUAACAAACUGUGCAAGUCGAAAACCUAACCCAUCCCUACAAGGCUACAAUGCUCCUAGAAAUAGACUCAGACAAUGCAGUAAUAACAACUUAACAAUGAAGGGCAAAUAUUUCCUAUGAUUAAUAGGAUAUCACAAGCAAGAAAAACAGAAAUAGAAAGACACAUACGAAAGCUGGAAGGGUGCAAGUAUGAAUGAGGUAGGGAGACUUAAGUAUAGCAAUUCAACCUGCAUGUUUCAUUGGCUCAAAAUAAUAACUAAACCACCGAAACGCUGCGGCAAUCCCAUACUCUGCCAGUUUACCGCAAUUCCUAUACAUGAACGCAUGUUAUACAACAAUAAAUGUUCAGACGACAAUGCCAAUAGACCAUCAUUCGUCCUAGCAAGAUUGAAUUGCGCCUCAAACGAAAUUAACAUCAAAUUUAUUACAGUGCAUCUUGUUUAUAUCUAAGCACGCUUGAAAUGUUGUACUAGACCUACUAGUAGAACUAUAUUUAUUGAUCAUGGCAAUGUACUCAACUGUAGCUGAUUGGCACUCAAGACUUCAGCCAGAUCUAUAGUCUUGAUUGUGUUCCUCCAGCAACAACAAUUGUUUCAGCUGUAAUGAAGGAUGCAUCGUCGGAUGCCAGGAAAGCGGCGGCUGAAGCCAUGUCUUCCACGCUACCCAAUCUCUUAAGUAUGCUCCUCUCGAUGAGCUCAUUUCUCUGUAGAAUUAUUUGGUUAGGUACAUAUAUGUUCAUGGAACAAACAUACAUGAGAUUUACUUGGUGGUACANNNNNNNNNNNNNNNNNNNNNNNNNNNNNNNNNNNNNNAGAUUUACUUGGUGGUACAGCUACAACUAUAUUAUUCUGAAAUAGGUUGCAUUCAAAAGAACCUAAUUUAUGACUGAGGAGAGCAAUGACAAGCCAUUCAGAAUAUAAGCAGUCUUAGAAUUUUUGCCAGUCAAACAACAUUUUUAUGUUUGAUGAUCAAUACAGGAAGAAGUACAAAAAUGGACAAUAUCAAAAUUGUUAUUGCUAGAUUUGUCAUAAAAGAUAUUUUUAUAUUGUAUUUGUUCGAAACAACAUUAUUUCUGAAGAUCAAAGUGUUAUGAUACUAAAAAGACGACAUGAGUAUUUAAAGUAAAAUAAAAACAAUGAAGUACUCGCAGACUGUAAGAAAAGCAAUGGAUUAGCUAACUGAAAUCGCCACAAUGAUAAUCAUACCGACCAUGGCAUAUAUAGUUACAAUUGCCAUCCAUGAAUAUAUAAUACGUCUGAUAAGUAACUGCCUGUGAUUGAGAAAGUACUAAGAUCACUUAAUCUUUUCAAGUGGGAGAUUGUUGUAAUAGUCUCAUGUUGUUUGCUUUCUAUGUAGUAUAAGAUUGGGUCAGCAGUAUAUGGCAUCAAAUAUGUGGCGAGUGAUGAAAUCUU
Molecule: long non-coding RNA, 1685 nt
Filed under: Hordeum vulgare
Lineage: Eukaryota; Viridiplantae; Streptophyta; Magnoliopsida; Poales; Poaceae
Description: long non-coding RNA (HVUL_LNC012799)
Source: RNAcentral